UCGCGCUUGAAUCAGCAAUGUAACUUUUGAAAAUGAUUUUUUGACCUUAGUCUACAAAAAGAUCUCUAGGGGACCCCUCAAGAUACGUGCAAAAUAAUCUCUCUACACUCCUCCUCAUCUAUUUCCUCUGUUAUUUGACUUGAGCAUCGAAGAGUUCCUACCGAAGCCAACUCUGAUCAUGACUUACAUGCAGAUUUCUCUUUCGAGAGGAUGCACCAUCGCUCCAGUCUUUCCGACUUGAUCCAGAUUUCAGUGGUAAC
RNAcentral lists this long non-coding RNA (260 nucleotides) under Elaeis guineensis (African oil palm). Its description in RNAcentral is "long non-coding RNA (EGUI_LNC017400)". The record is from RNAcentral. Lineage: Eukaryota; Viridiplantae; Streptophyta; Magnoliopsida; Arecales; Arecaceae.